RNAcentral lists this long non-coding RNA (864 nucleotides) under Vigna radiata. RNAcentral's name for it is "long non-coding RNA (VRAD_LNC007822)". The record is from RNAcentral. Lineage: Eukaryota; Viridiplantae; Streptophyta; Magnoliopsida; Fabales; Fabaceae.
UGCAGUCAAGGCACUUGCCUGGUGUCCUUAUGAUUCAGGUGUGCUUGCCUCUGGAGGUGGCACUGAAGAUAGAUGUAUCAAGUUAUGGAAUGUGAAACAUGGAACCUGCAUUUCCAGCAUAGAUACAAAGGCUCAGGCAAGAUAGUUAUCUGUUUCCUUGUUUUAUUAACUGUCUUGUUAUCAUGUUGCACUAGUUGUUAAGUAUUAAGCAUUUUCAUUAGCAAAAAAGAAUAAAUCACCAUUUUCUUAUCUGGACUUGGGCAUCAAACUUUCUCUAGCUGAAUGAUGCAUCAAACUUUCAUGCAGGUUUGCGGAUUAGAAUGGAAUAGACAUCAUAAGGAGGUAUUAAGUGGUCAUGGAUUCAGCACAAGUGCACAUCACAAUCAACUUUGUUUGUGGAGAUACCCAUCUAUGACUAAAGUGGGAGCCUUGGAACGUCACACUUCUAGAGUACUUGAUAUAUGUCAGGUAUGCUGCAAGUCAUAAUAUAAAACUCUUGCAUCAAUGAGUCCAGACUAUCUGCUCUGGGUUUUUUAGUGUGGUCCUCUGCUAAGCAUUAAAAAUAUAUUGAUGUUAGUAUGUUAAAAUUAUUUUUAAUAUAUUUUAAAAUAUCAAAUUCAUAGUUCAUCAGUGCAUUUUGAAGACACUGUAGAGAAACAACACAGAAAAAUCUAGCAAAGAAUCCAAAUUCAACAUCAAUGCUUCUUUCUGCAGUGUGAAUUUUUCUAGCUUAUAAGAAUUUCAUAGGUAACAAAGAUUGAGAAGAAAGAACAGAAUCAGGAAGUGCACCACUAAAGACAGAAUAUGACAUGCAAUUAACUAAAUAUGCAGCAAUAAGAAUUUAAUCUUUGAUUUGGUAGUUAC